This 492-nucleotide ribosomal RNA is filed under the name uncultured bacterium. Its description in RNAcentral is "partial 16S ribosomal RNA". It matches the Rfam family "Bacterial small subunit ribosomal RNA", at positions 30 to 507 of the family's 1533-position model. The record is from RNAcentral.
AUUGAACGCUGGCGGCAUGCUUUACACAUGCAAGUCGAACGGUAACAGGCCUUCGGGUGCUGACGAGUGGCGCACGGGUGAGUAAUGCAUCGGAACGUGCCCAGAGGUGGGGGAUGACGCAGCGAAAGCUGUGCUAAUACCGCAUGUGAUCUGAGGAUGAAAGCGGGGGACCAGGCAGCAAUGUUUGGCCUCGCGCCUUUGGAGCGGCCGAUGUCAGAUUAGGUAGUUGGUGGGGUAAAGGCCUACCAAGCCGACGAUCUGUAGCUGGUCUGAGAGGACGACCAGCCACACUGGGACUGAGACACGGCCCAGACUCCUACGGGAGGCAGCAGUGGGGAAUUUUGGACAAUGGGCGCAAGCCUGAUCCAGCAAUGCCGCGUGCGGGAAGAAGGCCUUCGGGUUGUAAACCGCUUUUGUACGGAACGAAAAGGCUCUGGCUAAUACCUGGGGCUGAUGACGGUACCGUAAGAAUAAGCACCGGCUAACUACGUG